AAUCUACUUUGCACACAAUUGUAUAUUUUAAGAAAUACAUCUGAGUGUCAUGAACAUAAAAUUUUAAAUGAGACAUGGGCGCGGGAAAUGUGUACGGAAGACGCACUCCCCGGCGCCGCUCGUGGGGGGCCCAAGUCCUUCUGAUCGAGGCCCAGCCCGUGGACGGUGUGAGGCUGGUCGCGGCCCCCGGCGCGCCGGGCUCGGCUCUUCCUGGAGUCGGAUUGCUUGGGAAUGCAGCCCAAAGCGGGUGGUAAACUCCAUCUAAGGCUAAAUACCGGCACGAGACCGAUAGUCAACAAGUACCUAAGGGAAAGUUGAAAAGAACUUUGAAGAGAGUUCAAGAGGGCGUGAAACCGUUAAGAGGUAAACUGGUGGGGUCCGCGCAGUCCGCCCGGAGGAUUCAACCCGGCGGCGCGCGUCCGCCAUGCCGGUGGUCCCGGCGGAUCUUUCCCGCACCCUGUUCCAAAAAAAAAAAAAAAGAAAAAAGAAAAAGAAAUUUAUAUUAGUAAACACAGAAAUUGACUUGGGACUAUUUAAUUUUAUCUUAUUGCUUAUCCAGAGUCCAAAGGUUGUGGGCAAAUGCUAAUAACUUUUAAUUCUAUUCGUUUAAUAAAACUAAAAACUAGAGGUUUCUAUAUGGCUUUUUAAAUAACA
RNAcentral lists this non-coding RNA (654 nucleotides) under Mus musculus (house mouse). RNAcentral describes it as "Eukaryotic large subunit ribosomal RNA". It matches the Rfam family "Eukaryotic large subunit ribosomal RNA", at positions 104 to 619 of the family's 3401-position model. Lineage: Eukaryota; Metazoa; Chordata; Mammalia; Rodentia; Muridae. The record is from Rfam by way of RNAcentral.